This 85-nucleotide transfer RNA is filed under the name Desulfovibrionaceae bacterium. Its description in RNAcentral is "tRNA-Leu". It matches the Rfam family "tRNA". Rfam says of the family: Transfer RNA (tRNA) molecules are approximately 80 nucleotides in length. Their secondary structure includes four short double-helical elements and three loops (D, anti-codon, and T loops). Lineage: Bacteria; Pseudomonadati; Thermodesulfobacteriota; Desulfovibrionia; Desulfovibrionales; Desulfovibrionaceae. The record is from RNAcentral.
GCGAGAGUGGCGGAAUUGGCAGACGCACUGGACUUAGGAUCCAGCGCCGCAAGGCAUGUGGGUUCAAAUCCCACCUCUCGCACCA